GAUGAACGCUGGCGGCGUGCCUAAUACAUGCAAGUCGAGCGAACAGACGAGGAGCUUGCUCCUCUGACGUUAGCGGCGGACGGGUGAGUAACACGUGGAUAACCUACCUAUAAGACUGGGAUAACUUCGGGAAACCGGAGCUAAUACCGGAUAAUAUAUUGAACCGCAUGGUUCAAUAGUGAAAGACGGUUUUGCUGUCACUUAUAGAUGGAUCCGCGCCGCAUUAGCUAGUUGGUAAGGUAACGGCUUACCAAGGCGACGAUGCGUAGCCGACCUGAGAGGGUGAUCGGCCACACUGGAACUGAGACACGGUCCAGACUCCUACGGGACGCAGCAGUAGGGAAUCUUCCGCAAUGGGCGAAAGCCUGACGGAGCAACGCCGCGUGAGUGAUGAAGGUCUUCGGAUCGUAAAACUCUGUUAUUAGGGAAGAAAAAAUGUGUAAGUAACUAUGCACGUCUUGACGGUACCUAAUCAGAAAGCCACGGCUAACUACGUG
RNAcentral lists this ribosomal RNA (497 nucleotides) under uncultured bacterium. RNAcentral describes it as "partial 16S ribosomal RNA". It matches the Rfam family "Bacterial small subunit ribosomal RNA", at positions 28 to 507 of the family's 1533-position model. The record is from RNAcentral.